AUGUUCUAUCUUAUUCAGCCUGGCAACCGCCACGGCUGCUGUGUGCCGGGCGGUGCCCGGGCGGCUGGGAGGGCGCGGCGGGAGGCGGCUCCGCGGGAGGCGGCGGUGACUCAGGCCUGGCAGCCCGGUUCUGGCGGGCCCGGGCACCGCGGCGGGCGGGGGCGGGGGCGGGGCCGGGGCGACGCGGGCGCCAUGUUACAGAGGCGGGGAGGGGAGCACCGUCCUGCCUCGGCGCUCGUUGACUUUAUCCUGCUGGCGGCGCCUGGGUGCCCGCGCAGCGCAAGGACGGCGGGACCGGGCCCUGCGGCGGGAGGGCGUGGGGGGAGUCCGGGUACUGUGGCCGAGGGUGAGCGGCGCAGGAAGGCCGGGCGCGUCCGGGUUAGCCGUGGUGUGUGGUGCGUAUGCACGCACAGCGCAGUCAGUGCGUGGCCGCGCAUCCCGUACCGUCCGUGCCUGGGUCUUGCUUCCUUCUGUAUGGUCAUGUAUGGUAAUUUCGUAAGGAGCUUAUUUCACUCAAUGCAGAAGGAUGGAGAGAGUUCCAACUGAGGAGGUGUUGCUGUGCUAUUCAUCAGUAUACUACUGGAAUGCUUAACAAACACCAAUUAAAUUCUAAGUACUCAAUUGGGCUGUGAUGGUGUGAUUAUCUCUAUUUUGGAGGAAAGGAACUGGAGCAGGAAUAUUCUAUUUACAAUGCCCCACUUACUUUGAGUGCUUAGUUGAAGACUUCAAGAAUCACAGCUUUUAGGAAUACAAGGAAUGCGGGAUGGAUGGCCACCUGUAGAG
Molecule: long non-coding RNA, 783 nt
Filed under: Anser brachyrhynchus (Pink-footed goose)
Lineage: Eukaryota; Metazoa; Chordata; Aves; Anseriformes; Anatidae
Description: lncRNA (ENSABRG00000017659.1)
Source: RNAcentral